GGUCCUAUAGUGUAAUGGUUAUCACUCAGGACUUUGAAUUCUGCGAUCCGGGUUCAAGCCCCGGUAGGACCU
RNAcentral lists this transfer RNA (72 nucleotides) under Blastocystis hominis. It matches the Rfam family "tRNA". From Rfam's summary of the family: Transfer RNA (tRNA) molecules are approximately 80 nucleotides in length. Their secondary structure includes four short double-helical elements and three loops (D, anti-codon, and T loops). Further hydrogen bonds mediate the characteristic L-shaped molecular structure. tRNAs have two regions of fundamental functional importance: the anti-codon, which is responsible for specific mRNA codon recognition, and the 3' end, to which the tRNAs corresponding amino acid is attached (by aminoacyl-tRNA synthetases). tRNAs cope with the degeneracy of the genetic code in two manners: having more than one tRNA (with a specific anti-codon) for a particular amino acid; and 'wobble' base-pairing, i.e. permitting non-standard base-pairing at the 3rd anti-codon position. The record is from Rfam by way of RNAcentral. Lineage: Eukaryota; Bigyra; Opalinata; Blastocystidae.